RNAcentral lists this ribosomal RNA (276 nucleotides) under Acinetobacter baumannii. Its description in RNAcentral is "partial 23S ribosomal RNA". It matches the Rfam family "Bacterial large subunit ribosomal RNA", at positions 2215 to 2490 of the family's 2925-position model. The record is from RNAcentral. Lineage: Bacteria; Pseudomonadati; Pseudomonadota; Gammaproteobacteria; Moraxellales; Moraxellaceae.
UGAUGUUCUAACGUUGGCCCCUUACCGGGGUUGCGGACAGUGUCUGGUGGGUAGUUUGACUGGGGCGGUCUCCUCCCAAAGCGUAACGGAGGAGCACGAAGGUUAGCUAAUCCUGGUCGGACAUCAGGAGGUUAGUGCAAUGGCAUAAGCUAGCUUGACUGCGAGCGUGACGGCGCGAGCAGGUGCGAAAGCAGGUCAUAGUGAUCCGGUGGUUCUGAAUGGAAGGGCCAUCGCUCAACGGAUAAAAGGUACUCUGGGGAUAACAGGCUGAUACCU